This 426-nucleotide ribosomal RNA is filed under the name uncultured bacterium. Its description in RNAcentral is "bacterial SSU rRNA". It matches the Rfam family "Bacterial small subunit ribosomal RNA", at positions 917 to 1344 of the family's 1533-position model. The record is from RNAcentral.
GGGCCCGCACAAGCGGUGGAGUAUGUGGUUUAAUUCGAUGCAACGCGAAGAACCUUACCAGGGUUUGACAUCCUGCGAAUUUCUGGGAAACCGGAAAGUGCCUUCGGGAGCGCAGUGACAGGUGGUGCAUGGCUGUCGUCAGCUCGUGUCGUGAGAUGUUGGGUUAAGUCCCGCAACGAGCGCAACCCACGUCUUUAGUUGCCAGCAUUUAGUUGGGCACUCUAGAGAGACCGCCGGUGAUAAACCGGAGGAAGGUGUGGAUGACGUCAAGUCAUCAUGCCCCUUACAUCCUGGGCUACACACGUACUACAAUGCUACGGACAAAGGGCAGCAAACUCGCGAGAGCUAGCAAAUCCCAUAAACCGUGGCUCAGUUCAGAUCGUAGGCUGCAACUCGCCUACGUGAAGGAGGAAUCGCUAGUAAUCG